GACGAACGCUGGCGGCGUGUCUAAUACAUGCAAGUCGUGCGAAGCUUUUCUGUUUCUUUCACUAGAUAAACUUAGCGGCUCACGGGUGUGUAACACGUAAAGAACCUCCCUCAUAGACUGGGACAACUAUUGGAAACGUUAGCUAAUACUGGAUUACAGUAUUUCUCGCAUGGGAGAUACUCAAAAGUUGGUUCUGCUAACAUUAUGACCAGGCCUUCCGGUGCAUUUGCUAGUUGGUGGGGUAAAGGCCCACCCAGGCGACGAUGCAUAGCAGUCCUGGGAGGGUGAUCGGCCACACUGAGGUUGAGACACGUCCCAGACUCCUACGGGAGGCAGCAGUAGGGAAUCUUCCGCAAUGGGCGAAAGCCUGACGGAGCAACGCCGCGUGAGUGAAGAAGGAUUUCGGUUCGUAAAACUCUGUUGUUAGGGAAGAAUGGAUAUGUAGUAACUAUACAUGUAAGAGACGGUACCUAGGCAGAAAGCCACGGCUAACUACGUG
This 499-nucleotide ribosomal RNA is filed under the name uncultured bacterium. Its description in RNAcentral is "partial 16S ribosomal RNA". It matches the Rfam family "Bacterial small subunit ribosomal RNA", at positions 28 to 507 of the family's 1533-position model. The record is from RNAcentral.